Molecule: small nucleolar RNA, 364 nt
Filed under: Blastobotrys adeninivorans
Lineage: Eukaryota; Fungi; Ascomycota; Dipodascomycetes; Dipodascales; Trichomonascaceae
Description: U3a/b
Rfam family: Fungal small nucleolar RNA U3
About the family: Small nucleolar RNAs (snoRNAs) are involved in the processing and modification of rRNA in the nucleolus.
Source: RNAcentral
GCGACGUACUUCAUAGGAUCAUUUCUAUAGGUCACGUCCUUUUUUGAGCUCUUUACAAGAGCCACAGAAUCCAACUUGGUUGAUGAGAUAGUUCCCUGCGCACCCUAGAGUGAGAAUGGUAAUUGUUUGGUCGUGGCUCUUGCAGCCCGGCCAUCUUUUAUGUGCCUUUGAUACGCUGAUUAGUGGAAUUGCCUUCUAGGAGUUGCGAUACCUUUUUUGCCACGCAAGUGGUAGAGAGCUCGUAAUCUCUAUUGGUCGGUUAGCCCUAGUCGUUUAUGCGUCGGAAGGAGCGAUGAUCUCUGCCCUUUAUAUGUGCUUCUUCGGAAGAGUUAUAUUGGGUGGGUGCGUUAGGCUGUCUGACAAG